GACGAACGCUGGCGGCGUGCUUAACACAUGCAAGUCGAGCGGUAAGGCCCUUUCGGGGGUACACGAGCGGCGAACGGGUGAGUAACACGUGGGUGACCUGCCCUCAGCUCUGGGAUAAGCCUGGGAAACUGGGUCUAAUACUGGAUAUGACUCCACGGUGCAUGUCGUGGGGUGGAAAGCCUUGUGCGGCUGAGGAUGGGCCCGCGGCCUAUCAGCUUGUUGGUGGGGNGAUGGCCUACCAAGGCGACGACGGGUAGCCGGCCUGAGAGGGCGACCGGCCACACUGGGACUGAGACACGGCCCAGACUCCUACGGGAGGCAGCAGUGGGGAAUCUUGCGCAAUGGGCGAAAGCCUGACGCAGCGACGCCGCGUGAGGGAUGACGGCCUGGUUGUAAC
Molecule: ribosomal RNA, 397 nt
Filed under: uncultured bacterium
Lineage: Bacteria
Description: bacterial SSU rRNA
Rfam family: Bacterial small subunit ribosomal RNA
Source: RNAcentral